Molecule: ribosomal RNA, 757 nt
Filed under: Nocardiopsis sp.
Lineage: Bacteria; Bacillati; Actinomycetota; Actinomycetes; Streptosporangiales; Nocardiopsidaceae
Description: bacterial SSU rRNA
Rfam family: Bacterial small subunit ribosomal RNA
Source: RNAcentral
UGCAGUCGAGCGGUAAGGCCCUUCGGGGUACACGAGCGGCGAACGGGUGAGUAACACGUGAGCAACCUGCCCCUGACUCCGGGAUAAGCGGUGGAAACGCCGUCUAAUACCGGAUACGACCUCCCACCUCAUGGUGGAGGGUGGAAAGUUUUUCGGUCAGGGAUGGGCUCGCGGCCUAUCAGCUUGUUGGUGGGGUAACGGCCUACCAAGGCGAUUACGGGUAGCCGGCCUGAGAGGGCGACCGGCCACACUGGGACUGAGACACGGCCCAGACUCCUGCGGGAGGCAGCAGUGGGGAAUAUUGCGCAAUGGGCGAAAGCCUGACGCAGCGACGCCGCGUGGGGGAUGACGGCCUUCGGGUUGUAAACCUCUUUUACCACCAACGCAGGCUCGAAGUUUUCUUCGGGUUGACGGUAGGUGGGGAAUAAGGACCGGCUAACUACGUGCCAGCAGCCGCGGUAAUACGUAGGGUCCGAGCGUUGUCCGGAAUUAUUGGGCGUAAAGAGCUCGUAGGCGGCGUGUCGCGUCUGCUGUGAAAGACCGGGGCUUAACUCCGGUUCUGCAGUGGAUACGGGCAUGCUAGAGGUAGGUAGGGGAGACUGGAAUUCCUGGUGUAGCGGUGAAAUGCGCAGAUAUCAGGAGGAACACCGGUGGCGAAGGCGGGUCUCUGGGCCUUACCUGACGCUGAGGAGCGAAAGCAUGGGGAGCGAACAGGAUUAGAUACCCUGGUAGUCCAUGCCGUAAACGUUGGGCGCUA